This 74-nucleotide transfer RNA is filed under the name Lentimicrobiaceae bacterium. Its description in RNAcentral is "tRNA-Thr". It matches the Rfam family "tRNA". Rfam says of the family: Transfer RNA (tRNA) molecules are approximately 80 nucleotides in length. Their secondary structure includes four short double-helical elements and three loops (D, anti-codon, and T loops). Further hydrogen bonds mediate the characteristic L-shaped molecular structure. tRNAs have two regions of fundamental functional importance: the anti-codon, which is responsible for specific mRNA codon recognition, and the 3' end, to which the tRNAs corresponding amino acid is attached (by aminoacyl-tRNA synthetases). tRNAs cope with the degeneracy of the genetic code in two manners: having more than one tRNA (with a specific anti-codon) for a particular amino acid; and 'wobble' base-pairing, i.e. permitting non-standard base-pairing at the 3rd anti-codon position. The record is from RNAcentral. Lineage: Bacteria; Pseudomonadati; Bacteroidota; Bacteroidia; Bacteroidales; Lentimicrobiaceae. RNAcentral also lists the same sequence under 1 other name.
GCCGAUGUAGCUCAGUUGGCCAGAGCAGUUGAUUUGUAAUCAACUGGUCGGGGGUUCGAAUCCCUCCAUCGGCU